UACGUAGGGUGCAAGCGUUGUCCGGAAUUAUUGGGCGUAAAGAGCUCGUAGGCGGUCUGUCGCGUCUGCUGUGAAAAUCCAGGGCUCAACCCUGGACCUGCAGUGGGUACGGGCAGACUAGAGUGCGGUAGGGGAGAUCGGAAUUCCUGGUGUAGCGGUGAAAUGCGCAGAUAUCAGGAGGAACACCGGUGGCGAAGGCGGAUCUCUGGGCAUUACCUGACGCUGAGGAGCGAAAGUGUGGGGAGCGAACAGG
Molecule: ribosomal RNA, 253 nt
Filed under: uncultured bacterium
Lineage: Bacteria
Description: partial 16S ribosomal RNA
Rfam family: Bacterial small subunit ribosomal RNA
Source: RNAcentral